CCUACGGGGGGCUGCAGUGGGGAAUAUUGGACAAUGGGCGAAAGCCUGAUCCAGCCAUGCCGCGUGUGUGAAGAAGGCCUUCGGGUUGUAAAGCACUUUCAGUGGGGAAGAAAGCCUUGGGGCUAAUACCCUCGAGGAAGGACAUCACCCACAGAAGAAGCACCGGCUAACUCCGUGCCAGCAGCCGCGGUAAUACGGAGGGUGCGAGCGUUAAUCGGAAUUACUGGGCGUAAAGCGCGCGUAGGCGGUCUGAUAAGCCGGUUGUGAAAGCCCCGGGCUCAACCUGGGAACGGCAUCCGGAACUGUCAGGCUAGAGUGCAGGAGAGGAAGGUAGAAUUCCCGGUGUAGCGGUGAAAUGCGUAGAGAUCGGGAGGAAUACCAGUGGCGAAGGCGGCCUUCUGGACUGACACUGACGCUGAGGUGCGAAAGCGUGGGUAGCAAACAGGAUUAGAUACCCCUGUCGUC
Molecule: ribosomal RNA, 465 nt
Filed under: Vreelandella stevensii
Lineage: Bacteria; Pseudomonadati; Pseudomonadota; Gammaproteobacteria; Oceanospirillales; Halomonadaceae
Description: partial 16S ribosomal RNA
Rfam family: Bacterial small subunit ribosomal RNA
Source: RNAcentral